GAUCACUUGGGAAGAAUCUCUUGAGAGAGGCUCUGGAGAAGGGAAGCUCUUGGAGGAAAAUCUCUAAGGAGAUCUCUCUGGAGCUCCUCUGAGGGAACUCUAUCCCUCUGGAGGCUCUGGAGAGAGGCCCUUUGGAACUCUUUCUGGUGAAGUCAGCUGAGAUGAAGCUGGCCUGGUGUCACUAGAAUCCUUGCUUAGGCAGACCUUGUGUGGAUCAUAUUCAUGUCUGAAGAGGAAAUGGAUCUCAUUUUUGACAGUGAGGAGAGAAACGAAGAUGUCACCUUCUCCCAGGACUCAGAGAGAGAGAGAGCAACUGCCACUCCCAGAGAACAACUGCCCCAGAAAACCCUUUACACCUCCUACACACAUUGUCAAUAUUUGAAACUGACACUCUGUCCCAGCUCUAUUUCAAACCCCAAUUCUUUCUCAAGCCAGCUUAUCCACUUCUUACCUCUAAACUAAUGUGACAAGACUUAAUUUCUAAUAUCAUCCUUAUAAGUGACUUACCAAGUGCUAAGUAGGAGUAUUUAAAAUUCUUGAUUUCGUGGAAAGGAAACUGAGGAACUAUUUUAGAAUGUUGGCAGGAGGGAAGAGUGGCAGUUGGAGGAGAAGAAGGGACUUGUGGGAUUGAGAGCUUUGAAAGGAGUCUUUUACCCUGUAUACUCAUGAGAGACAGGAGUGAGGGACUGAAGUGAAGGACCCCAAAUUGGUGGUACCAGAGCCUUGCCUACAUUUCCCUUUACCCUGGAAGACAGAAAGAUCCCUGACAUCUCUGGAUCAUUGAUUAAAGAAGCAAAAGAAGGGCAGAAGACUAUUUAUUGGAACACAGCUCCUGUUCAUCCCUGCCACAACAUCUGCUCAGGGGUACCCCUCUUUUGUGUUUAAGGUAUGAAGGAUAAGGAGAGUUACACAGAGCUUCUCUUAACUCUGAUCUUGUCUUUCUCUCCCUUCCACACAAACCCCCCUAUUCCUUCACCUCCUCCAUCCCUGUGCCUCCCCAUCUAUCCUCUCUUAUAAUCAUAACAAUUUGAUUAAAUUAAAGGUUGCUGAUUGAUUACAUAUAAAAUAAACUAAGAGAGUUCAAUUCUCUCUUCA
This 1095-nucleotide long non-coding RNA is filed under the name Monodelphis domestica (gray short-tailed opossum). RNAcentral's name for it is "lncRNA (ENSMODG00000031046.2)". The record is from RNAcentral. Lineage: Eukaryota; Metazoa; Chordata; Mammalia; Didelphimorphia; Didelphidae.